GACAUCAGAUGCUGUCUCCUUAUGACAUUAGUUUAGUGCUAUUUAGUUCAUCACCUCCUUGUCUUAGAUGCGUUAAUGACUUGACGUGUGUACAAUCCAAUUUAAUGGAUGGGUCCAUGAAUAACAACAAUAACAUAAAACUAAUAGUACUAAUAUAUAUACUUGAUACAAGUAUUAUCUAAAUAAAUGAUCAAUGUCUCUUCACAACUGUACGAACGUAAUUUAUGAUUGAUCCAACCUUCUCCACACGCUUUUGCUCUUAUGUACGGAAGAUCCUUAAUUUAAGCUGCGCGUGCAAUUUCUCCAAGUCGUUGCACAUACUUCUUAACUUACUCACAUACUCGUCACGCGCCUCUCACGCGCUCUUUGCUCUCUUUCCAUGUUGCUUCUUC
Long non-coding RNA from Arabidopsis thaliana (thale cress), 392 nucleotides. RefSeq annotates it as other RNA. The record is from RefSeq. The transcript has a single exon. NCBI's taxonomy places the organism in Eukaryota, Viridiplantae, Streptophyta, Magnoliopsida, Brassicales, Brassicaceae.